This 396-nucleotide ribosomal RNA is filed under the name uncultured bacterium. RNAcentral describes it as "bacterial SSU rRNA". It matches the Rfam family "Bacterial small subunit ribosomal RNA", at positions 142 to 518 of the family's 1533-position model. The record is from RNAcentral.
AGUAACAUCCGGAAACGGGUGCUAAUACCGCAUAGUUUUCUUGAUUGCAUGAUUGAGAAAGGAAAGACGGCCUUUGUGCUGUCGCUUAUGGAUGGACCCGCGGCGUAUUAGUUAGUUGGUGAGGUAACGGCUCACCAAGACGAUGAUACGUAGCCGACCUGAGAGGGUGAUCGGCCACAUUGGGACUGAGACACGGCCCAAACUCCGUACGGGAGGCAGCAGGUAGGGAAUCUUCCGCAAUGGACGAAGUCUGACGGAGCAACGCCGCGUGAGUGAAGGUAAAGGUUUUCGGAUCGUAAAACUCUGUUGUCAGAGAAGAACAAGUUGGAGAGUAACUGCUCCAGCCUUGACGGUAUCUGACCAGAAAGCCACGGCUAACUACGUGCCAGCAGCCGC